RNAcentral lists this ribosomal RNA (253 nucleotides) under uncultured bacterium. Its description in RNAcentral is "partial 16S ribosomal RNA". It matches the Rfam family "Bacterial small subunit ribosomal RNA", at positions 524 to 776 of the family's 1533-position model. The record is from RNAcentral.
UACAGAGGGGGCAAGCGUUGUUCGGAAUUACUGGGCGUAAAGGGCGCGUAGGCGGCCUUCUAAGUCGAACGUGAAAUCCCCGGGCUCAACCCGGGAACUGCGUCCGAUACUGGAAGGCUUGAAUCCGGGAGAGGGAUGCGGAAUUCCGGGUGGAGCGGUGAAAUGCGUAGAGAUCCGGAGGAACACCGAAGGCGAAGGCAGUCUCCUGGCAAGUUACUGACGCUCAGGUGCGAAAGCUAGGGGAGCGAACAGG